GAUGAACGCUGGCGGCGUGCCUAAUACAUGCAAGUCGAGCGAACGGACGAGAAGCUUGCUUCUCUGAUGUUAGCGGCGGACGGGUGAGUAACACGUGGAUAACCUACCUAUAAGACUGGGAUAACUUCGGGAAACCGUAGCUAAUACCGGAUAAUAUUUUGAACCGCAUGGUUCAAAAGUGAAAGACGGUCUUGCUGUCACUUAUAGAUGGAUCCGCGCUGCAUUAGCUAGUUGGUAAGGUAACGGCUUACCAAGGCAACGAUGCAUAGCCGACCUGAGAGGGUGAACGGCCACACUGGGAGUGAGAGACGGUACAGAGUCCUACGGGAGGCAGAGGUAGGGAAUCGUCCGAGAUGGGCGAAAGCCUGACGGAGCAACGCAGGGUGAGUGAUGAAGGUCUUCGGAUCGUAAAACGCUGUUAUUAGGGAAGAACACAUGUGUAAGUAACUGUGCUCAGCGUGACGGUACCUAAUCAGAAAGCAACGGCUAACUACGUG
This 497-nucleotide ribosomal RNA is filed under the name uncultured bacterium. Its description in RNAcentral is "partial 16S ribosomal RNA". It matches the Rfam family "Bacterial small subunit ribosomal RNA", at positions 28 to 507 of the family's 1533-position model. The record is from RNAcentral.